Molecule: long non-coding RNA, 808 nt
Organism: Rhododendron vialii
Lineage: Eukaryota; Viridiplantae; Streptophyta; Magnoliopsida; Ericales; Ericaceae
Exons: 3
Source: RefSeq, a predicted model, not a curated record
UUUGUUGUACUACCCCAAACACGCUUCGCACUAUCAUCUCUCUCUCUCUCCCCUAAACUUUCUCUUGCUCGUCUCUCACCCCGUGGCUCAAGAGGUAAGGUGUCUUUUACCUCUUUGGUUGGGGUUUCCUGAUAACAAAGAUGGCAUCACCGGCGCAGACGUUUUGUUCUUCCCAUAUUCUCUUCUACAUCUAAACUAUCUUGCGGAGAGGGAUUAUUGUUUGUGCAGCUCCAUUACUCCUUCGACUCCUCCUACUUUAACUCCCUCCGCGAAUACAUCAAUCUUGGCUCAUAUUUGCGGCCUGACCACUAGACCACCAACCUCUGCUUAAUGCUCCAAAAGAAGAUAGGCAAAACCAUUGGAAGAAGGCGCCUACUAGGUGUUUGACUGAAAGCCCAACAUUGGAUGAACAUAGGAGGCUGCAAGGGCAUCUGAGUGGAUAGGCUCAAAAGAUUGGAAGAAAACAUGGAGAUAGGACCAAAUCGAAUCUCUAAGGAUACAAAUCUAGGUAACGGAAAUUUUUUAUGAUUUAGACUUAAAUUCUCACUGCAAUAAUGUCAAUGGAUUUACUAUUGUCCUUUAUUUUUUGUAAUACAUAUAUUGGUUUUGUUGCCAUCAUUUCCUAUUUUUGUUCCAUUUGCUUUGGUCGAGAUGAAUAUGGUGCUAAACGACAACAAUUAAUUUUGUUAAUGUGUUUUAGAGAAUAACGUUUGUAAUGGUCUUAUUUGGAUCUUAAGUAUUUUUUAAAAAUUAGAUUUAUUCUUCCUUUAGUUCCUCCAAUAAAACAGAGGGUACGUCAUUUUUAGUC